RNAcentral lists this ribosomal RNA (728 nucleotides) under Exiguobacterium sp. YIM216. RNAcentral's name for it is "bacterial SSU rRNA". It matches the Rfam family "Bacterial small subunit ribosomal RNA", at positions 57 to 756 of the family's 1533-position model. Lineage: Bacteria; Bacillati; Bacillota; Bacilli; Caryophanales. The record is from RNAcentral.
GCAAGUCGAGCGCAGGAAACCGUCUGAACCCUUCGGGGGGACGACGAUGGAAUGAGCGGCGGACGGGUGAGUAACACGUAAAGAACCUGCCCACGGGUCUGGGAUAACCACGAGAAAUCGGGGCUAAUACCGGACGGGUCAUCGGACCGCAUGGUCCGAGGAUGAAAGGCGCUCCGGCGUCGCCCGUGGAUGGCUUUGCGGUGCAUUAGCUAGUUGGUGGGGUAAUGGCCCACCAAGGCGACGAUGCAUAGCCGACCUGAGAGGGUGAUCGGCCACACUGGGACUGAGACACGGCCCAGACUCCUACGGGAGGCAGCAGUAGGGAAUCUUCCACAAUGGACGAAAGUCUGAUGGAGCAACGCCGCGUGAACGAUGAAGGCCCUCGGGUCGUAAAGUUCUGUUGUAAGGGAAGAACAAGUGCCGCAGGCAAUGGCGGCACCUUGACGGUACCUUGCGAGAAAGCCACGGCUAACUACGUGCCAGCAGCCGCGGUAAUACGUAGGUGGCAAGCGUUGUCCGGAAUUAUUGGGCGUAAAGCGCGCGCAGGCGGCCUCUUAAGUCUGAUGUGAAAGCCCCCGGCUCAACCGGGGAGGGCCAUUGGAAACUGGGAGGCUUGAGUAUAGGAGAGAAGAGUGGAAUUCCACGUGUAGCGGUGAAAUGCGUAGAGAUGUGGAGGAACACCAGUGGCGAAGGCGACUCUUUGGCCUAUAACUGACGCUGAGGCGCGA